GUGAGAGUGUGCGGGGGAAAGAGGCAGUUGUCAUGUGCUUCCAUAGAAGGAGAUGAAGGAGCCAAGUCUGAAAAGUUUCCUGUCCCUAGGAGUGAAACCUUACAUCAGUGAUUCCCGACUCUGCCUAUUGAUUCCCCAGGGUGUCUUGAAAUUCUUCAAAAGAAAUUAAUUGUAAUUCACUUCAAUUUUUAAAAUACACGUAUAUGCUGCAGAGCACAAUGCUUCUGGGCAGGGGUGGCCCAGGGGAGGUGGACUGGGAGUUGUAUGUGUGUCAAAGAAGCUGUCAAUCAGCCAAAGAACAAUAGGGAGCUGAAACGCCCCAAAUUUGGGGGAGUGAUUGGUCUGUGUUCACACCUGCAGGGUAGGCAGAGGCAAAAGGGGGUGGCGUUGGCUACUGAAAAGGUUGACAUAACUUGCUGGAUCACUGGGGUGACUUCAUACUCUCAACCGGAAGAUGCUUUGACCGGGGCCAUUGCUGUUAGAUGCCCAGCUCUUCCCGGAGUCUGGACAAGCAUGCUUCCUGGCCCCCAGGGGGUAUAUCAAAUCUGUGCUCCACAAUGGGUGGCAAAGCCUCAUGUUACCGUUAUUAUUUUUAAUCGGCUAAGUUAAUGAUUCAAUGCUUAACAUUUGUUUGUUGAUACCAAGAAAGUGCUGUUGGAUGGCUGCUCAGUUUCAGAACACAAUGGUGUUCGCCAUUCUGUUCCUUCCCUACCCAAAUUAGAAAUGCCAAGUUUGCUUUGUUGUGGCAUCUGGUUAAUGCAGACACAUGGAUCACUGUGUGUUCUGGUGCUCAGAACUUGAAAGGCAUGGUACUGGAUGGGAAGGAACUCAUUGACGACUGGGCCUCAAAGGAAUGUAUCAAGUGCUGCCUCUGCUUUUCUCCUCUGCCUUGCUGGGUUUGCAUGGAAAGUGGGAUUUGUGGGCAGCUGCAAGUGUGUUUGGGCUGGAGGCAAACUCCUGUGUGUUCUUAGCCUGAUUCUACACAGCACAGUAGGAAGGGGGCCAGAGAAAGUGGCUGGCAGUAGGAGAGCCUCUGUUUUGGGAAUAUGAAGCAGCCUGGGAGAGAGUGAUGGAAGAAAGGAGUGGGGGAGAGUUAGGGAAGCCUUAAUUCAUCUCAUCUGACAGAUCAGAAACAGAAGUUGCCACAUCCACUCAUUCGCAGGUUGUGUUGUCAAUGAGAUCACAGCAUUUUAGAGCCCAUGUGGACCUUGCACUCUGGCACAUGCUGUAAUUGGCUGUAAGAAUAGCACGUCUGCUUGCCGUUUCACUGGAGGACUUGAGGGAGGGGGAUUGGGUUUAGGGAAUAAGGGCACAGGUGUAGACGGCACAGGUGUGAAGGGCACAAAUGUCAGGGCACAGGUGUGAGGGCACAGUUGUGAAGGGCACAGGUAUGAAGGGC
RNAcentral lists this long non-coding RNA (1399 nucleotides) under Equus caballus (horse). RNAcentral describes it as "lncRNA (ENSECAG00000050437.1)". The record is from RNAcentral. Lineage: Eukaryota; Metazoa; Chordata; Mammalia; Perissodactyla; Equidae.